Molecule: long non-coding RNA, 1149 nt
Organism: Pogoniulus pusillus (Red-fronted tinkerbird)
Lineage: Eukaryota; Metazoa; Chordata; Aves; Piciformes; Lybiidae
Exons: 2
Source: RefSeq, a predicted model, not a curated record
GGAAAGGCAGAAGCCCUAGGCUGUGCCCAACUGGGCAGGGAAGUCUUCCUCUUGUUACUGGUGGUCAGCUUGCAACACACACCUACGUGUGACAGUCAGCUCGCAGCACACACCUACGUGUCCCUUUCCUGCCACUCCCUUCAGCUUGCCUACCUCUGCAUUAGGGAUCAAAAUUAACGUCCUGGGAGGCUACCUGAAAAUUCAGAGUUAUCAUCACAGUGCCUUUUCCUUUGAAUCCAGGGUAAUGAAGCUUAACGAGAUCAGCAGUUCAAGAUCUCUUCAGUUCCUUUGAGUCCUUGAAUAUUUGUAGCGAGCCUCUGCUACCUGGGGCCAUCCUCUGAUGAAACUCAAAAAGAUCAUUUGUGCAGAGGCCCUCUUUCAUACAUGGUUCUAGUCCUUUGGCUGGGCAGCUUUCAUUCUUGACAGUAGAUCUCAAAGAUUUUAUUGCAUGUGCCUGCCUAUAUGGCCACAGCUCUCGCUUUUAGAUGGAUAACUUGCACUCAUCAUCUGUGUUUUUGUCAUUUCUGGCUUGCUCCUGAAGCACAUCCUUCACGUGGGGCUGCAUUGCAAUUUAAUUGGAAGCAGAUUGUGGUGCAGAAGGCAAUCGCGCACCUGGUAUCCGCAUCUCUGCUCUGGGAACAAGGUCGGCUACUUUCGAGUGACCUGAUUUGAGUAUGAUGGUUUGGGCCUAGGAAGCUCAGAGCCUCCAGGGAAAAUCCUUCCUAAGACAAAUACUCAGUGAUGCAUCUCUCAGAGAUGCAGGCAUUAGAAGCAUUGAUGACUGGAUUAUGUUCCUUUCAAAAUAACAGCCAAAGUAUAGCCAGCAAGAUACUCCUAAAAAGCUUCCUUGGCUUCAUAAAUCCCGUCCUGCAGUCUGACACCAUCUGUAUUUAUUGACUUUUAGGACAUGCUACAAGACCCAUGUGUUGGAGCAGCUCUUUGAGGAGCCUUAAGAGGACCGGUUGAUGAAUGGGGCUACAGUGUUUAUUUACUUCAGUUUGGUAGAAGCAGUGAGUCAAUUAUAUUGCAUUUUGGUUCCGCAGUUCUCAGUUGGCAGAGUGCUUAGAGCCUAUGUAGGAACACAUUUUAUUUAUUUUAAAUAUCUGAAAAAAAUCUGAAUAAAUAAAAUGAUGCAGUUGGUGUAAGAUU